AUGGAGGCGUCGGCGUACAAGUUCGGGCCCUACAGGAUCGACGCGAGGGAGGUCUUCCACGCCACGCCCCUCUCCUACGCCAUGGUCAACCUACGCCCCCUCCUCCCUGGUGUCACUGCAAAGGAAGUUGGUGUACGGCUUGAGCAGUACCACAAAGCUUCUUCACUUACAUUUGCGAUUCAGGAUGGCCCUCAAGCUGGCCAAACAGUUCCGCACGUCCACAUCCAUGUCAUCCCCAGGAAGAAGGGAGAUUUUGAAAAUAAUGAUGAAAUAUAUGACGCGAUUGAUGUGAAAGAAAAAGAAUUGAAGGAAAAGCUCGAUCUGGAUGUUGAAAGAAAAGAUAGAACCAUGGAAGAAAUGAGUCAUGAGGCUAACGAGUACCGUGCUCUUUUCUCCUAG
This 399-nucleotide ribosomal RNA is filed under the name Triticum aestivum (bread wheat). Its description in RNAcentral is "partial small subunit ribosomal RNA". Lineage: Eukaryota; Viridiplantae; Streptophyta; Magnoliopsida; Poales; Poaceae. The record is from RNAcentral.